Molecule: ribosomal RNA, 397 nt
Filed under: uncultured soil bacterium
Lineage: Bacteria
Description: bacterial SSU rRNA
Rfam family: Bacterial small subunit ribosomal RNA
Source: RNAcentral
AGAUUGAACGCUAGCGGGAUGCUUUACACAUGCAAGUCGAACGGCAGCGCGGACUUCGGUCUGGCGGCGAGUGGCGAACGGGUGAGUAAUAUAUCGGAACGUGCCCAGUAGCGGGGGAUAACUACGCGAAAGCGUGGCUAAUACCGCAUACGCCCUACGGGGGAAAGGGGGGAUCGCAAGACCUCUCACUAUUGGAGCGGCCGAUAUCAGAUUAGCUAGUUGUGAGGUAAAGGCUCACCAAGGCGACGAUCUGUAGCUGGUUUGAGAGGACGACCAGCCACACUGGGACUGAGACACGGCCCAGACUCCUACGGGAGGCAGCAGUGGGGAAUUUUGGACAAUGGGGGAAACCUGAUCCAGCCAUCCCGCGUGUGCGAUGAAGGCCUCGGUGUAAGAC